This is a long non-coding RNA of Sphaeramia orbicularis (orbiculate cardinalfish), 2347 nucleotides long. RefSeq lists it as uncharacterized. NCBI's taxonomy places the organism in Eukaryota, Metazoa, Chordata, Actinopteri, Kurtiformes, Apogonidae. The record is from RefSeq and is a predicted model, not a curated record. The transcript has 5 exons.
UAGUAAUUGUCCUCACCUGUUCACUGUGUUUGGAGCGGGUGAACUCUGGGCCAGUUUUCUGUCGAACGGAGGAAAUAUUUAUGUGCGGAACCCGUGGAAGGACCUGUGGAGGAGAAGGGCCGCGCGCCUCACCUGCCGUUACGCACCAUUCAUCAUCCGUCAUCUAUAACCAAAUUGUUGUGGAUGAAGAAUCAGACAAAACAAGUGGAUGGUUUUCUACUGGAACAGACAUAAUAUAACCUGCAGAGGAGAUGAUGCGCCCGUCCUCUCCCAGCCUCACGCUCCCACUGGACACCAGCUCCACGGCCUCGGGGUAGGCCCGGUGCUCGGCUCCUUUGAUUCUGUCCGACAGAGUGUCCUCCGUGUCCCCGCGGAGGACGGGCACCGCCUCCUGCACGAUGAUGGCCCCCGCGUCCACCUCCUCCUGCAGGACCAGGACACAACACAGCCUUGAAGACCAGGUUCAGACGGAAGACACACAACUACUGGCCUGGCGCUGGGCGUUCACCCCCUUGAAUGAAGGCAGCAGAGAUGGAUGGAUGUUCAGCAGCUUCCCUGUGACAUGAAAGGACAGAAAACACACACUGUCACUGUCAGAGAUCAGACUGGGACAGAAAGUCAGAGCCGCUCCAACUGUCUGUCAUUUUCCACAGUCGCAUCAAACAGCAUCACAUCAUUGAUCUUUGGGGUUGGACGGACAUGUGGGCUCCUGUAAAGUCCAUGGAACCUUGAAAAUCCCAGAGUUCUACUUAAAUACUUUAUUCUAACAGCAAAAAGGAUUACAUCGAUUACAUUAUCCACAUUUAAAACUGACCCUCUCCAUAAAAAGAGCUCAUGAAAAUGCCAAUAACCCUUCUGGAAAAACUAGUCAAAAUGAUUUUUUUGGCGUUUUUUUUUUUGUGCAGGACCAAACAACCUUUAAAUAUAAUGGAAAUACUGCAUUUUAGCAAAAUACACAACAUUUCUUACCGACUCAUUCAGGUGUAAAAAUGCUAAUGUGCACCGAUCUGCUUCGACCUCAUUCCACUUGUACAACCAUAAAGGCCACGGCUUUAGUUACUGUUAGUGCUUAGAAUAUUAUAGUUUACAUAAAUACUAGGAUACUGUAUGUGAUCCUUAAAGCUACUUGGAUGUUCAGUACAAAACCUCAUCUCAACCCAGUCAAAAAGGCAGUCGGUGCAUUUUAAAGUAACAUCUGAAUCAUUUUGCUCCAAGUGAUAAACUAAAAAAAAUGUAGAAAUUUGGAGUAAAAGUUUUAGGGAUUUUUCAAGGCUCAAAUGAUUAAACAUAAGUAGAGUAAAUAGGAAAAGCUGAAAAUGAAAGAUUCUUCCAUUAGAUGAAAAAUUGCAAGUGUUGACACUUAUAUUUGCAUAGUUCCACUAAAUCCAGAUGGUCUCCUAAAACUGGAUCAGAUCUUAUUAAAUACAACUUCACUGUAGACGACUCCACCAUCUAGUAGGACAUACUGUGUUAAAUAUUUAAAAUAAUUAUUUAACAAACGCUGAAUCACUCCAAUACUUACUGUAAAUUAGCAUCUAUUCAUAUUUUGUGUUUUUAUUAUUUUAUUCUACUUGGCUCCAUUCUUGGGUUAUUUUGUGAAAUGUAUAUUCUAUUUUUCUAGUUUUUGUAAUUUUCUAUUCACUGUUAUUUUUUGUACACACAAUGACAAUAAAGUCUAUUCUAAAAUACAACUCCACAUUCUGCCUGUACUCAUCUAGUAAAUGAAUUAUUUGACGACAAAGUUGGAAUCACUAAUACAACGACUGAGCUAUGCAAACAUUUUUCUUACCGUUCCAUUUUUUGACAAAGUUUGGGGUUAGGAUCCUCAUGAAACCCGCCAGACAAACCAGCUCUACUCCGAACUCUUCCAACACGCCGUCGAUGGUACUGUCGAACUCGGCUCGGCUCCCGUACAGCUUGUGGUCCACCACCUGUUUGGGACGAACGACAGACGGUGACCACUUUGUCUCGUUGCCCGUUUGUGUUUCUGAUUGUGUUGUCGUUUACCCGUGUCGGGAUCCCAGCCAACGAGGCCCUCUUCAGGCCCUGGACGCUGGGCCUGUUGGAAAUAACCACCACGAUCUGAGCAGCGCUGAACGGGGACUUAGUCUGCUCUAUGAGGGCCUGCAGGUUGGUGCCUGGGGAGGGGGGAAAGUUGAUGUUACUUUAAAUGUUUUUGGUAGUGUACAGCUGAUUUUGAUUUGAAUGUAGGAGAAGCUGAUAUUAGCGUUUAGCUUCUGCCUAAACUUUACUCAACAUAAUUCAGUCUGUUCAUGUAAAAUUAGUUUCAUUGUUUGUAUUUUCUGUAUUACAGAUGAUGACUGAAUAAACAUAAACCUGAUGUUUG